This 64-nucleotide transfer RNA is filed under the name Monacha cartusiana. RNAcentral's name for it is "tRNA-Leu". The record is from RNAcentral. Lineage: Eukaryota; Metazoa; Mollusca; Gastropoda; Stylommatophora; Hygromiidae.
AAUAAUUUGGCAGAUAUAAUGCAUAUGAUUUAGGUUCAUAGAAUAACUAUAUAGUUAAUUAUUA